AGAGUUUGAUCAUGGCUCAGGACGAACGCUGGCGGCGUGCUUAACACAUGCAAGUCGAACGGAAAGGCCCUUCGGGGUACUCGAGUGGCGAACGGGUGAGUAACACGUGGGUGAUCUGCCCUGCACUUUGGGAUAAGCCUGGGAAACUGGGUCUAAUACCGAAUAGGACCACGCGCUUCAUGGUGUGUGGUGGAAAGCUUUUGCGGUGUGGGAUGGGCCCGCGGCCUAUCAGCUUGUUGGUGGGGUAAUGGCCUACCAAGGCGACGACGGGUAGCCGGCCUGAGAGGGUGACCGGCCACACUGGGACUGAGAUACGGCCCAGACUCCUACGGGAGGCAGCAGUGGGGAAUAUUGCACAAUGGGCGCAAGCCUGAUGCAGCGACGCCGCGUGAGGGAUGACGGCCUUCGGGUUGUAAACCUCUUUCAAUAGGGACGAAGCGCAAGUGACGGUACCUAUAGAAGAAGCACCGGCCAACUACGUGCCAGCAGCCGCGGUAAUACGUAGGGUGCGAGCGUUGUCCGGAAUUACUGGGCGUAAAGAGCUCGUAGGUGGUUUGUCGCGUUGUUCGUGAAAUCUCACGGCUUAACUGUGAGCGUGCGGGCGAUACGGGCAGACUUGAGUACUGCAGGGGAGACUGGAAUUCCUGGUGUAGCGGUGGAAUGCGCAGAUAUCAGGAGGAACACCGGUGGCGAAGGCGGGUCUCUGGGCAGUAACUGACGCUGAGGAGCGAAAGCGUGGGGAGCGAACAGGAUUAGAUACCCUGGUAGUCC
Molecule: ribosomal RNA, 771 nt
Filed under: uncultured bacterium
Lineage: Bacteria
Description: bacterial SSU rRNA
Rfam family: Bacterial small subunit ribosomal RNA
Source: RNAcentral